This 28-nucleotide small RNA is filed under the name Bombyx mori (domestic silkworm). RNAcentral's name for it is "ovarian small RNA-28005". The record is from RNAcentral. Lineage: Eukaryota; Metazoa; Arthropoda; Insecta; Lepidoptera; Bombycidae.
UCCUUAAGAUCAUCUUCCGAAAUCUCUC